Molecule: long non-coding RNA, 391 nt
Filed under: Rhinopithecus bieti (black snub-nosed monkey)
Lineage: Eukaryota; Metazoa; Chordata; Mammalia; Primates; Cercopithecidae
Description: lncRNA (ENSRBIG00000046258.1)
Source: RNAcentral
CCCACCAGCCCCUUCCUCUUCACUUUCUGGACUCUGGUAUGGUAAAUUUUUCUUUAUAUCUCACUCCUAUCCAGUAUACAUACACGGCUGGACCUCCCUGACACAUUGUUUCAACUUACGGCUCUGGCUAUAAAGAUGAGGAAACACUCACUCUUCCAAUGCAAUAGGAACAAACGGUGUAAAAGGUGAAAGAACAGCUGUUGUAGGUCACAUGGAAAGAACAUGAUGGAGUGACAAAAAAUAAACUUUGCUAGAAAAGCCAAGUGGUAUUUAAGUCUUUGGGAAUGCCUUAUGUGAAGGGAAGGAAGUCAGCCAUCUGUCAUAUUUCAUCUAAUCAAUGUCUCUGAACGUUAUCACUAAUGUUACCUGUGUGGUAUGCACAGGCAAGGGC